CUACCUUCAGCACAAAAGGGGACAAGUGAGACGGAUGAAGGGUACCUGCCCGAUGCAGUACCGAUUCUCAGCUCAGUACCGGUAGCUAGAGUCAAGUUCCGCAAAACCCGAGAGCUGCCCAAUUCGACUCUCUACUGAGUUCCGGUACCUCAAGUCCACUCCAAAGAUCUCCAAACUCAGUCACAAUCUUCAGAAUAGUAAAAAAAUACUAUUCUCUCACUAGAACUCCGCAAUUUGUAGAAGUUCAGUGUGCUACAAAUAUAUUCUAAAAGUAUGUAAUAUGUGUACAAACGAUGCAUAUAUUUCGAUAUUUAUACAAAUAUUGCACCAUUUGGAAUAAAAUAUUGCAUAAUUUGAAAAGAUGUUGUACUAUUUAAGAGAAUAUUGCACUCUUUUUUCAAAUUAAUUAUACUUUAUUUUUUUAUUGUCUUAAAUGAGAAUUCUCAUCUUUCGAGAAAAGUACGUACAAUUAUGACUUAGUAAUUAUCUUUUCUGAGAAAUUUGACAUUUUAUUUAAUAUACAAUGUAAUUUAAUUUUUAACAAAAAGAGUGUAAUGUACCAUCUAAAUGGUGUAACAUUCUCUCCUAAUAGUACAAUACUUAUAAAAAUAAUGUAAAUAUUUCCAAAUAGUGUAACAUAUGUAAUGUUUAUAUACAUAUUACAUGAUUUUAUAAUAUAUUAUAUAUUAGGGUAUAUUAUAAUAUACUAGUGUAGAAACCCGCGCGAUGCGGCGGAUAAAAAAUAUAAUAAAUUAUAAAUUAAAUAUACAAAUAAAAAUAUAAAAAUAUAGUAGAAAAUAAUUAAUAUUUGAUUGGUUAAUAAUAUAAAAAAUAUAUUAAAAAUUUUUUUAGAAUGAAAAUAUAAUCCAAGAGAGAACAAAGAAAGAAAACAAAAAAUAAACAAUAAGAGAAUAAAAAUUGUUGAUAGGAAUUAAAAAAAUAUAAUUUAAUGCAAGAAUAAAAGAGAAGAGAAAAUAUAAAAAUCAGAGAUGAUUUCGUUGGAGUUGGUUUUAUUACUUGAUGAAUUAACGUAAGAAGUAUUUGGAAGAAAAUUAGCUCCACCUUAAUUAAAAGAGAGAGAACAAUGGGCUCCACAAAAGAGGAGGGGAACAAAAGAGGAGGGGAACAGUCCGAUGAAAAAAAAGAUAACAUGAGAAAUAUUUGGAAGGAAGCGGUUCCAUCCUAAUUAAGAAGAGAGAAUAUGGGCUCCAUGCCUCCACUAACAUCCUAAUUAAGAAAAGAGAGAAUACAGGCUCCAUUAAUGUCACGCCCCGGGGUCCCUUUUUAGUUUAAAGCAUAGCGGAAAAGCAUCUGAAAUUUUUUUUUUUUGAAAACCUGACCCCAGAGUAUGCCAGAUCCGCCACAAAUAUAGGAGGUCCACUGUUCACACGGACAGAGUCUCCCCUGUAUUUGCACGGCGUCGCACAAGUACAAGAGUUCAAACAUGAUACAACCACAACCAGAUGAACAUACAAAUAACCAACAGUUAUACAUUCAUACACCAUUCACCACAGUUUCACAUUUAUACAUUCAAUAUUUAAAUAUAAAUCCACAUCUAUCAGUUAAAAUGUUUCCAACCACAGAAACAGGUUUUGAAAUAUUAAGAUACAAAAUCCACAAAAAACCUUUUGAAAACUGUUCCCUACACAGGAACUUUUAUCUUUUUAAAAACGGUACCACGAGGGGUAGAAAAUUAUUUUUAUUUUACAAAAUUCACAAACAAGUUUAUUACAUUCAUGAAAACCCAUAUUUUCAAAUGUAAUAAAAAUACUAAACCAUAUAAAC
RNAcentral lists this long non-coding RNA (1785 nucleotides) under Ananas comosus (pineapple). Its description in RNAcentral is "long non-coding RNA (ACOM_LNC030479)". Lineage: Eukaryota; Viridiplantae; Streptophyta; Magnoliopsida; Poales; Bromeliaceae. The record is from RNAcentral.